UGAGCGCAAAGGAAAGGUUAGCAACUGAGGAAUACUCUAUAUAACUUAUCAUUUUCUAGGUAUUACAAUAAUGGUGUAAUGAAGAAUAUAAGAAAUCAAUAAAGAAGCAGAAAGUAUACAUAGUCCAUCAGUCACCUCUACAUAAAGUCAUAACUCAUGAGACAAAGGCUAAUCAAUGAAGCAAUUCAAGACAGAAAACAAUAGAUAACUUAUUUUAUUUUUUGUGAUUUUUAAUAUUAAAUUUAAAAUUAUUAUA
This is a long non-coding RNA of Amphimedon queenslandica, 256 nucleotides long. RefSeq lists it as uncharacterized. The record is from RefSeq and is a predicted model, not a curated record. The transcript is spliced from 3 exons. Lineage: Eukaryota; Metazoa; Porifera; Demospongiae; Haplosclerida; Niphatidae.